ACAAAAGCAUUUGGCACCGCCAAGCUAACGCAUUUGUGCCUAUCAAAUAAACGAAAUGAAUAAAAAAAAAUAUAUAUAUGCUUUUUAUUACAGAAGCUUUCAUCGAUUGUAUAGGAUAUACACUGAUUAGUUACACGCAAAAGAAGGAUGCAACUAGUUAAUUCCCAGCCGCGAUACGUUGGUUGCACUAAUUCAGUACAUAACGUCCUCUUUGUGUCACAUGUAUUAUCGCUGUUUGGCUCCGGUUACGGUCUCAGUUCCACUGCUCGUUUAUUAUGUGGCCUUGAGAUUCAAUACAAACUUGCGGUAUUUGAACAACAGAGCAGCGUGUCGAUUCACAUAUUUAUGGCGAUGAAUGGCUUCACUAUCAUCGAUUCUUCGUUGAAGUUGAGGAACGGACAACACAACCCGGUUAUCCGUGCAAGGCAGUAACAAUGCAUCGUAAUACAAAUAGGAUUUUUUUAAAUAACCUUUUCCAUAAAUUAUUUUCUUCUAGGUGUGAACGUUGAACACAGAACAAUACCUCAGAGAUGACAUUUUUCUUCCAAGAAACUUGAUUCACCAGAGUUUUAACCAUCACACUACUAUGUUUAGUACAAUUGCAUAAACUAAAGGUUGAAAACGGUGUUAAAUACAAGAUCGCUCCUGAGAAACUGACACGUACAGCAUGCUUGCAGCAUGCGGUUCAAGGAGCCCUCUUAUACCGCAGUUUUGUGCCCUUCAACCAGAGGAUUGUUGUAAGCAAAAACCCUUUUGCGCUGAAAUCUGACAAUAACGUUCAGUUGAAGAUUAGGCCCGGGUCACUGAAAUGAGCAAUGAUUUGCAGCAUUUGGGCCAGUAGCCGUUCGAGCAAAUUUACAGCUUACACAUCGUUGUCUCUGCACUGUAUCUGCUAUCAGAAAUUUGCUGAGUCUCAGGCUGGUCUCUGAAAUAUUAACGAUAACCGAUCUCAAUAUCGAUGUGCCUCAAAUAGCUUUAUGCUCGCCUUUGAGUUUACCCAAAGUUAUCAUAAGCUUCGCACUAAUGUGUUCAGCUUUUUCCUAACAAUGGCCAUAAGUGGUUGGGUCAUAAAACACCUUUGUACAACUGAGUACGGGUUUGGUACAAGUACACUGAGCACCAAACAGACCAACUGAAAACGUACACCAGGCUACACCACGAACUACCCUUGAAAGUCAUACACUUGCAUCAAAGGGAAUCUCGUUAGAUAUAAAAUAACAGAAACAUCGUAACACUCUACCGUCAUUGCCUGCCGAAAAUGUUUACUGAUUUGACGGAGUUCGAGGAUUAAGCAUUAAGCAAAUCGUUGUUGGCUGUGGCGACGCGGCUGUGCGGUAUACACUACAGGAUAAUCAAUACUCUAUACCGGCGACAUCGACAUGAGCAGCUCAAUCCCCGGGUGCGACGGUUCCGACCGAUAACUCGCCAUUGGAAGCUCCUUAGGUUGAAAACGGUGUUAAAUACAAGAUCGCUCCUGAGAAACUGACACGUACAGCAUGCUUGCAGCAUGCGGUUCAAGGAGCCCUCUUAUACCGCAGUUUUGUGCCCUUCAACCAGAGGAUUGUUGUAAGCAAAAACCCUUUUGCGCUGAAAUCUGACAAUAACGUUCAGUUGAAGAUUAGGCCCGGGUCACUGAAAUGAGCAAUGAUUUGCAGCAUUUGGGCCAGUAGCCGUUCGAGCAAAUUUACAGCUUACACAUCGUUGUCUCUGCACUGUAUCUGCUAUCAGAAAUUUGCUGAGUCUCAGGCUGGUCUCUGAAAUAUUAACGAUAACCGAUCUCAAUAUCGAUGUGCCUCAAAUAGCUUUAUGCUCGCCUUUGAGUUUACCCAAAGUUAUCAUAAGCUUCGCACUAAUGUGUUCAGCUUUUUCCUAACAAUGGCCAUAAGUGGUUGGGUCAUAAAACACCUUUGUACAACUGAGUACGGGUUUGGUACAAGUACACUGAGCACCAAACAGACCAACUGAAAACGUACACCAGGCUACACCACGAACUACCCUUGAAAGUCAUACACUUGCAUCAAAGGGAAUCUCGUUAGAUAUAAAAUAACAGAAACAUCGUAACACUCUACCGUCAUUGCCUGCCGAAAAUGUUUACUGAUUUGACGGAGUUCGAGGAUUAAGCAUUAAGCAAAUCGUUGUUGGCUGUGGCGACGCGGCUGUGCGGUAUACACUACAGGAUAAUCAAUACUCUAUACCGGCGACAUCGACAUGAGCAGCUCAAUCCCCGGGUGCGACGGUUCCGACCGAUAACUCGCCAUUGGAAGCUCCUAGGAACGUCAACUGUUCAAAAGUAAAUUUAAACAA
This is a long non-coding RNA of Topomyia yanbarensis, 2304 nucleotides long. RefSeq lists it as uncharacterized. Lineage: Eukaryota; Metazoa; Arthropoda; Insecta; Diptera; Culicidae. The transcript is spliced from 3 exons. The record is from RefSeq and is a predicted model, not a curated record.